This 253-nucleotide ribosomal RNA is filed under the name uncultured bacterium. RNAcentral describes it as "partial 16S ribosomal RNA". It matches the Rfam family "Bacterial small subunit ribosomal RNA", at positions 524 to 776 of the family's 1533-position model. The record is from RNAcentral.
UACGGGGGGGGCAAGCGUUGUUCGGAAUUACUGGGCGUAAAGGGCUCGUAGGCGGCCAACUAAGUCGGACGUGAAAUCCCCAGGCUCAACCUGGGAACUGCGUCUGAUACUGGAUGGCUUGAGUGUGGGAGAGGGAUGCGGAAUUCCAGGUGUAGCGGUGAAAUGCGUAGAUAUCUGGAGGAACACCGGUGGCGAAGGCGGCAUCCUGGACCAUUACUGACACUGAAAAGCGAAAGCCAGGGGAGCAAACGGG